Molecule: transfer RNA, 84 nt
Filed under: Sandaracinaceae bacterium
Lineage: Bacteria; Pseudomonadati; Myxococcota; Polyangiales; Sandaracinaceae
Description: tRNA-Leu
Rfam family: tRNA
About the family: Transfer RNA (tRNA) molecules are approximately 80 nucleotides in length.
Source: RNAcentral
GCGGAUGUGGCGGAAUUGGCAGACGCGCCAGACUAAGGAUCUGGUAGAGUAAAAUCUGUGAGAGUUCGAGUCUCUCCGUCCGCA